Molecule: ribosomal RNA, 253 nt
Filed under: uncultured bacterium
Lineage: Bacteria
Description: partial 16S ribosomal RNA
Rfam family: Bacterial small subunit ribosomal RNA
Source: RNAcentral
UACGGAGGGUGCGAGCGUUGUUCGGAAUUACUGGGCGUAAAGCGCGUGUAGGCGGCCUUCUAAGUCUGGUGUGAAAGCCCGGGGCUCAACCCCGGAAGUGCAUUGGAUACUGGGAGGCUGGAGUACCGGAGAGGAGGGUGGAAUUCCUGGUGUAGCGGUGAAAUGCGUAGAUAUCUGGAGGAAUACCGGUGGCGAAGGCGGCAUCCUGGACCAUUACUGACGCUGAGGCGCGAAAGCUAGGGGAGCAAACAGG